GAUGAACGCUGGCGGCGUGCCUAAUACAUGCAAGUCGAGCGAACAGAUAAGGAGCUUGCUCCUUUGACGUUAGCGGCGGACGGGUGAGUAACACGUGGAUAACCUACCUAUAAGACUGGGAUAACUUCGGGAAACCGGAGCUAAUACCGGAUAACAUAUUGAACCGCAUGGUUCAAUAGUGAAAGGCGGCUUUGCUGUCACUUAUAGAUGGAUCCGCGCCGUAUUAGCUAGUUGGUAAGGUAACGGCUUACCAAGGCAACGAUACGUAGCCGACCUGAGAGGGUGAUCGGCCACACUGGAACUGAGACACGGUCCAGACUCCUACGGGAGGCAGCAGUAGGGAAUCUUCCGCAAUGGGCGAGAGCCUGACGUAGCAACGCCGCGUGAAUGAUGAAGGUCUUCGGAUCGUAAAACUCUGUUAUCAGGGAAGAACAAAUGUGUAAGUAACUGUGCACAUCUUGACGGUACCUGAUCAGAAAGCCACGGCUAACUACGUG
This 497-nucleotide ribosomal RNA is filed under the name uncultured bacterium. RNAcentral's name for it is "partial 16S ribosomal RNA". It matches the Rfam family "Bacterial small subunit ribosomal RNA", at positions 28 to 507 of the family's 1533-position model. The record is from RNAcentral.